AGCGUACACGGUGGAUGCCCUGGCAGUCAGAGGCGAUGAAGGGCGUGCUAAUCUGCGAUAAGCGCCGGUAAGGUGAUAUGAACCGUUAUAACCGGCGAUACCCGAAUGGGGAAACCCAGUGUGAUUCGUCACACUAUCAUUAACUGAAUCCAUAGGUUAAUGAGGCGAACCGGGGGAACUGAAACAUCUAAGUACCCCGAGGAAAAGAAAUCAACCGAGAUUCCCCCAGUAGCGGCGAGCGAACGGGGAGGAGCCCAGAGCCUGAAUCAGCAUGUGUGUUAGUGGAAGCGUCUGGAAAGGCGCGCGAUACAGGGUGACAGCCCCGUACACAAAAGCGCAUGUGCUGUGAGCUCGAUGAGUAGGGCGGGACACGUGGUAUCCUGUCUGAAUAUGGGGGGACCAUCCUCCAAGGCUAAAUACUCCUGACUGACCGAUAGUGAACCAGUACCGUGAGGGAAAGGCGAAAAGAACCCCGGCGAGGGGAGUGAAAAAGAACCUGAAACCGUGUACGUACAAGCAGUGGGAGCNGCUUUGGGGUGGGGUGACUGCGUACCUUUUGUAUAAUGGGUCAGCGACUUAUAUUCUGUAGCAAGGUUAACCGAAUAGGGGAGCCGGAGGGAAACCGAGUCUUAAUUGGGCGUUAAGUUGCAGGGUAUAGACCCGAAACCCGGUGAUCUAGCCAUGGGCAGGUUGAAGGUUGGGUAACACUAACUGGAGGACCGAACCGACUAAUGUUGAAAAAUUAGCGGAUGACCUGUGGCUGGGGGUGAAAGGCCAAUCAAACCGGGAGAUAGCUGGUUCUCCCCGAAAGCUAUUUAGGUAGCGCCUCGUGAAUUCAUCUCCGGGGGUAGAGCACUGUUUCGGCUAGGGGGCCAUCCCGGCUUACCAACCCGAUGCAAACUGCGAAUACCGGAGAAUGUUAUCACGGGAGACACACGGCGGGUGCUAACGUCCGUCGUGAAGAGGGAAACAACCCAGACCGCCAGCUAAGGUCCCAAAGUCAUGGUUAAGUGGGAAACGAUGUGGGAAGGCCCAGACAGCCAGGAUGUUGGCUUAGAAGCAGCCAUCAUUUAAAGAAAGCGUAAUAGCUCACUGGUCGAGUCGGCCUGCGCGGAAGAUGUAACGGGGCUAAACCAUGCACCGAAGCUGCGGCAGCGACGCUUAUGCGUUGUUGGGUAGGGGAGCGUUCUGUAAGCCUGUGAAGGUGGCCUGUGAGGGUUGCUGGAGGUAUCAGAAGUGCGAAUGCUGACAUAAGUAACGAUAAAGCGGGUGAAAAGCCCGCUCGCCGGAAGACCAAGGGUUCCUGUCCAACGUUAAUCGGGGCAGGGUGAGUCGACCCCUAAGGCGAGGCCGAAAGGCGUAGUCGAUGGGAAACGGGUUAAUAUUCCCGUACUUGGUGUUACUGCGAAGGGGGGACGGAGAAGGCUAUGUUGGCCGGGCGACGGUUGUCCCGGUUUAAGCGUGUAGGUGUGUGUUCCAGGUAAAUCCGGUUCACUUUAACACUGAGGCGUGAUGACGAGGCACUACGGUGCUGAAGCAACAAAUGCCCUGCUUCCAGGAAAAGCCUCUAAGCAUCAGGUAACAUCAAAUCGUACCCCAAACCGACACAGGUGGUCAGGUAGAGAAUACCAAGGCGCUUGAGAGAACUCGGGUGAAGGAACUAGGCAAAAUGGUGCCGUAACUUCGGGAGAAGGCACGCUGACACGUAGGUGAAGUGAUUUACUCAUGGAGCUGAAGUCAGUCGAAGAUACCAGCUGGCUGCAACUGUUUAUUAAAAACACAGCACUGUGCAAACACGAAAGUGGACGUAUACGGUGUGACGCCUGCCCGGUGCCGGAAGGUUAAUUGAUGGGGUCAGCGCAAGCGAAGCUCCUGAUCGAAGCCCCGGUAAACGGCGGCCGUAACUAUAACGGUCCUAAGGUAGCGAAAUUCCUUGUCGGGUAAGUUCCGACCUGCACGAAUGGCGUAAUGAUGGCCAGGCUGUCUCCACCCGAGACUCAGUGAAAUUGAACUCGCUGUGAAGAUGCAGUGUACCCGCGGCAAGACGGAAAGACCCCGUGAACCUUUACUAUAGCUUGACACUGAACAUUGAGCCUUGAUGUGUAGGAUAGGUGGGAGGCUUUGAAGCGUGGACGCCAGUCUGCGUGGAGCCGACCUUGAAAUACCACCCUUUAAUGUUUGAUGUUCUAACGUGGACCCGUNNNCCGGGUUGCGGACAGUGUCUGGUGGGUAGUUUGACUGGGGCGGUCUCCUCCUAAAGAGUAACGGAGGAGCACGAAGGUUGGCUAAUCCUGGUCGGACAUCAGGAGGUUAGUGCAAUGGCAUAAGCCAGCUUGACUGCGAGCGUGACGGCGCGAGCAGGUGCGAAAGCAGGUCAUAGUGAUCCGGUGGUUCUGAAUGGAAGGGCCAUCGCUCAACGGAUAAAAGGUACUCCGGGGAUAACAGGCUGAUACCGCCCAAGAGUUCAUAUCGACGGCGGUGUUUGGCACCUCGAUGUCGGCUCAUCACAUCCUGGGGCUGAAGUAGGUCCCAAGGGUAUGGCUGUUCGCCAUUUAAAGUGGUACGCGAGCUGGGUUUAGAACGUCGUGAGACAGUUCGGUCCCUAUCUGCCGUGGGCGCUGGAGAACUGAGGGGGGCUGCUCCUAGUACGAGAGGACCGGAGUGGACGCAUCACUGGUGUUCGGGUUGUCAUGCCAAUGGCACUGCCCGGUAGCUAAAUGCGGAAGAGAUAAGUGCUGAAAGCAUCUAAG
Molecule: ribosomal RNA, 2750 nt
Filed under: Salmonella enterica subsp. enterica serovar Weltevreden
Lineage: Bacteria; Pseudomonadati; Pseudomonadota; Gammaproteobacteria; Enterobacterales; Enterobacteriaceae
Description: bacterial LSU rRNA
Rfam family: Bacterial large subunit ribosomal RNA
Source: RNAcentral